Molecule: non-coding RNA, 201 nt
Organism: Vicia faba (fava bean)
Lineage: Eukaryota; Viridiplantae; Streptophyta; Magnoliopsida; Fabales; Fabaceae
Source: the annotation of a GenBank genome assembly
AUGGCAGUUUCGAUGAUGGAUCUCCGGAGACUUUGUUGUUCUGUGCGAAACGGAGGGCUCUCGUCGAUGUUUGCACCGGCUGAGUUGUGUGUGCAGUUCUCACUGCCAGACUCCAGAUUCAUCGGAUCUUGUGGUGGCAUCGACAAAGGCCGAUUGAAGGUGGGAUGGCUGCAUCAGUGGAGGGAUCUGAUCAGCUUGUGA